GGCCAGAGGCGGAGCUGCCGCCCUGCCGCGACUUUCAGACUCCGACUAUGGCCUCGCGCUGGUGGCGGUGGCGGCGGGGCUGCUCCUGGAGGCCUGCGGCUCGGAGUCCAGAGCCCGGCUCCCCCGGCCUUGCGGGGCCGCCGGGGCCGCGCGCCGCCGCCGCCGCCGCCGCCGCCCGCUGUCAGAUACCCUAUUUUAAUCUUGUGAAGCAUUUGACAUCUGCCUGUCCAAAUGUAUAUAGCAUAUCACGGUUUCAUCACACAACCCCAGACAGUAAAACACGCAGUGGUGAGAAAUAUACUGAUCCUUUCAAACUCGGUUGGAGAGACUUGAAAGGUCUGUAUGAGGACAUUAGAAAGGAACUGCUCAUAUCAACAUCAGAACUUAAGGAAAUGUCUGAGUACUACUUUGAUGGAAAAGGGAAAGCCUUUCGACCAAUUAUUGUGGCACUAAUGGCCCGAGCAUGCAAUAUUCAUCAUAACAACUCCCGACACGUGCAAGCCAGCCAGCGCGCCAUAGCCUUAAUUGCAGAAAUGAUCCACACUGCUAGUCUCGUUCACGAUGACGUUAUUGACGAUGCAAGUUCUCGAAGAGGAAAACACACAGUUAAUAAGAUCUGGGGUGAAAAGAAGGCUGUUCUUGCUGGAGAUUUAAUUCUUUCUGCAGCAUCUAUAGCUCUGGCACGAAUUGGAAAUACAACUGUUAUAUCUAUUUUAACCCAAGUUAUUGAAGAUUUGGUGCGUGGUGAAUUUCUUCAGCUUGGGUCAAAAGAAAAUGAGAAUGAAAGAUUUGCACACUACCUUGAAAAGACCUUUAAGAAGACCGCCAGCCUGAUAGCCAACAGUUGUAAAGCAGUAUGUCUCUGUUCUAGGAUGCCCUGACCCAGUGGUACAUGAGAUCGCCUAUCAGUACGGGAAAAAUAUAGGAAUAGCUUUUCAGCUAAUAGAUGAUGUUCUGGACUUCACCUCAUGUUCUGACCAGAUGGGCAAACCAACGUCAGCUGAUCUGAAGCUCGGGUUAGCCACUGGUCCUGUCCUGUUUGCCUGUCAGCAGUUCCCAGAAAUGAAUGCUAUGAUCAUGAGACGGUUCAGUUUGCCGGGAGACGUGGACAGAGCGAGACAGUAUGUAUUACAGAGUGAUGGUGUGCAACAAACAACCUACCUCGCCCAGCAGUACUGCCAUGAAGCAGUAAGAGAGAUCAGUAAACUUCGACCAUCCCCAGAGAGAGAUGCCCUCAUUCAACUUUCGGAAAUUGUACUCACAAGAGAUAAAUGACAGCUCUUCCUGUUCUUUCUGGCAGCUAUCUUACCAGACUGUGCCUAAAGAAUUUUAUGGAAUACACUGUUUGCUUCAUGUGCAGAUAACCAAAAAUCAUUUUAAAAGAUAUCACUUAUUGAUGGGCAAUUUAUUUUUUUUUAUUGCAAAAGUUUUUUCAGAAAACUUUUUAAAUGUAAUUAAACCAUCUGAAUCUGUCAUUCUAGUCCUAUAAAUUCUAAUCGAGGUAUCUUGAUGGUUAUAUGUGGUAUUGUUUACACUGUUAAUAUCCACAUGUAAGGCCAUUAUACAAAUAAAUGAUAAAAUUCAA
Saimiri boliviensis boliviensis (Bolivian squirrel monkey) is the source of this 1585-nucleotide non-coding RNA. Lineage: Eukaryota; Metazoa; Chordata; Mammalia; Primates; Cebidae. The record is from RefSeq and is a predicted model, not a curated record.